This 497-nucleotide ribosomal RNA is filed under the name uncultured bacterium. RNAcentral's name for it is "partial 16S ribosomal RNA". It matches the Rfam family "Bacterial small subunit ribosomal RNA", at positions 28 to 507 of the family's 1533-position model. The record is from RNAcentral.
GAUGAGCGCUGGCGGCGUGCCUAAUACAUGCAAGUCGAGCGAACGGACGAGAAGCUUGCUUUUCUGAUGUUAGCGGCGGACGGGUGAGUAACACGUGGAUAACCUACCUAUAAGACUGGGAUAACUUCGGGAAACCGGAGCUAAUACCGGACAAUAUUUUGAACCGCAUGGUUCAAAAGUGAAAGACGGCCUUGCUGUCACUUAUAGAUGGAUCCGCGCUGCAUUAGCUAGUUGGUAAGGUAACGGCUUACCAAGGCAACGAUGCAUAGCCGACCUGAGAGGGUGAUCGGCCACACUGGAACUGAGACACGGUCCAGACUCCUACGGGAGGCAGCAGUAGGGAAUCUUCCGCAAUGGGCGAAAGCCUGACGGAGCAACGCCGCGUGAGUGAUGAAGGUCUUCGGAUCGUAAAACUCUGUUAUUAGGGAAGAACAUAUGUGUAAGUAACUGUGCACAUCUUGACGGUACCUAAUCAGAAAGCCACGGCUAACUACGUG